GACGAACGCUGGCGGCGUGCUUAACACAUGCAAGUCGAACGGUGAAGCGCCUUCCUUUUUGGUGGGUGUGGAUGAGUGGCGAACGGGUGAGUAACACGUGAGUAACCUGCCCCCUUCUUCUGGAUAACCGCAUGAAAGUGUGGCUAAUACGGGAUAUUCUGGGUCUGUCGCAUGAUGGGUCUGGGAAAGAUAUUGUUUCGGUGGGGGAUGGGCUCGCGGCCUAUCAGCUUGUUGGUGGGGUGAUGGCCUACCAAGGCGGUGACGGGUAGCCGGCCUGAGAGGGUGGACGGUCACACUGGGACUGAGACACGGCCCAGACUCCUACGGGAGGCAGCAGUGGGGAAUAUUGCACAAUGGGCGCAAGCCUGAUGCAGCGACGCCGCGUGAGGGAUGGAGGCCUUCGGGUUGUAAACCUCUUUCGCCAGUGAAGCAGGCCUGCCUCGUUUGUGGGUGGGUUGACGGUAGCUGGAGAAGAAGCGCCGGCUAACUACGUG
This 494-nucleotide ribosomal RNA is filed under the name uncultured bacterium. RNAcentral's name for it is "partial 16S ribosomal RNA". It matches the Rfam family "Bacterial small subunit ribosomal RNA", at positions 28 to 507 of the family's 1533-position model. The record is from RNAcentral.